This 423-nucleotide ribosomal RNA is filed under the name uncultured eukaryote. RNAcentral describes it as "SSU rRNA". It matches the Rfam family "Eukaryotic small subunit ribosomal RNA", at positions 592 to 1018 of the family's 1831-position model. The record is from RNAcentral.
CAAUCGCGUAUAUUGAAGUUGUUGCGGUUAAACAAUUCGUAGUUGGAUUUCUGCUGAGGACGACCGGUCCGCCCUCCGGGUGAGCAUCUGGUUCGGCCUUGGCAUCGUCUUGGUGAACGUAGUUGCACUUGACUGUGUGGUGCGGUACCCAGGAUGUUUACUUUCAGGAAAUUAGAGUGUUUGAAGCAGGCAUACGCCUUGAUUACAUUAGCAUGGAAUAAUAAGAUAGGACCUCGGUUCUAUGUUGUUGGUUUCUAGAGCUGAGGUAAUGAUUAAUCGGGGUAGUUGGGGGGCAUUCGUAUUUAAAUGACAGAGGUGGAAUUCUUGGAUUUGUUAAAGACGGACUACUGCGAAAGCAGUUGCCAAGGAUGUUUUCAUUGAUCAAGGACGGAAGUUAAGGGAUCGAAGACGAUCAGAUACCGU